This 347-nucleotide ribosomal RNA is filed under the name uncultured delta proteobacterium. RNAcentral's name for it is "bacterial SSU rRNA". It matches the Rfam family "Bacterial small subunit ribosomal RNA", at positions 97 to 426 of the family's 1533-position model. Lineage: Bacteria; Deltaproteobacteria. The record is from RNAcentral.
GGCGCACGGGUUGCGUAACACGUUGGGUAAUCUGCCUCAGGGUCAGGGAUAACUCUCCGAAAGGUGAGCUAAUACCUGGUAAGCCUACGGCGUCUUCGGACGCAGUGGGAAAAGUGGACCUCUAUUUAUAAGUUCACGCCCCGAGAUGAGCUCGCGGCCCAUCAGCUAGUUGGCGGGGUAACGGCCCACCAAGGCAACGACGGGUAGCUGGUCUGAGAGGACGAUCAGCCACACUGGAACUGAGACACGGUCCAGACUCCUACGGGAGGCAGCAGUGGGGAAUUUUCCACAAUGGGCGAAAGCCUGAUGGAGCAACGCCGCGUGUGUGAUGAAGGUCUUUGGAUCGU